RNAcentral lists this ribosomal RNA (468 nucleotides) under uncultured bacterium. RNAcentral describes it as "partial 16S ribosomal RNA". It matches the Rfam family "Bacterial small subunit ribosomal RNA", at positions 28 to 507 of the family's 1533-position model. The record is from RNAcentral.
GACGAACGCUGGCGGCGUGCUUAACACAUGCAAGUCGAACGGAAAGGCCCUGCUUUUGUGGGGUGCUCGAUUGGCGAACGGGUGAGUAACACGUGAGUAACCUGCCCUUGACUUUCGGAUAACUUCACGAAACUGGGGCUAAUACCGGAUAGGAGCUCCUGCUGCAUGUUGGGGGUUGGAAAGUUUCGGCGGUUGGGGAUGGACUCGCGGCUUAUCAGCUUGUUGGUGGGGUAGUGGAUUACCAAGGCUUUGACGGGUAGGCGGCCUGAGAGGGUGAACGGCCACAUUGGGACUGAGAUAGGGCGCAGACUCGUAUGGGAGGCAGCAGUGGAGAAUAUUGCACAACGGGCGGAAGCCUGAGGCAGAAACGCCGCGUGCGGGAUGACGGCCUUCGGGUUGUAAACCGCUUUCGCAUGUGACGAAGCGUGAGUGACGGUAAUGGGUAAAGAAGCACCGGCUAACUACGUG